UAUGAUCGAAGAUAAUUAUCUUGGUAGAUAAUGCGGUCGACAUUUAAUUGUAAGGAAUUCUAAGUCAGGUGAACAAAAGGACUUGAGUUCCUGUAUGUUGUUAUGAUCACACCACGUCUCGUUAAUCAUAAGGCAUACACCCCCGCCCUUCUUCUUACCAGAGAGAUGCUUGUUUCUGUCGGCGCGAUGCGUGAAGAAACCAGGUGGCUGUACCGACUCUGAUAGCGUGUCUCGAGUGAGCCAUGUUUCCGUGAAACAGAGAACGUUACAGUCUCUGAUGUCUCUCUGGAAGGCAACCCUUGCUCGGAUUUCGUCUACCUUGUUGUCAAGAGACUGGACAUUGGCGAGUAGCAUGCUCGGGAGCGGUGCACGAUUUGCCCGUCUACGGAGCCUGACCAGAAGACCGCUCCGUCUGCCCCUUCUGCGACACCGCUGUUUUGGGUCGCCUACUGGGAUCCGAUCCAUUGUCUUGGGUGGUGGUCCAAACAGAGGAUCCGCUUCGGGAAAGUCGUAUUCCUGGUCGUAAUGUUGGUAAGUUGACGUUGCUCUUAUAUCCAAUAGUUCCCCCCGGCUGUAUGUAAUAAGACUUAAGAUUUCCUGGGGUAAUACUGCAUAGUUUCCUAAGAAAGCGAAGUGUGGUGUCCAUCUCUGUCAGCGCCAAACACAGGAGAAAAGAUCUCCUCUGAUGCCCAGAAUCCUUCAAUUCAAAGUCCCAUUAAUCUGCAAUUGUUAUAAUGUCAAAAUACAUUUGGUACUCACCAAAAUAUGUAGUUUCACAGAGUAACUACAGUCAUUACUGCCAUUACACAGGGUAUGUACUUCCAAAAAAAGGUCUAAAUAAAAAUUAUCUAUUGUUUCUGACCAAGUGCGCUUGAGCCAAAUUUACCAUUCGUUAUCGCCAAAAGAAUCACUCAUUAUUAUUGCCAAGCACAGGUAGGCUGAUCCAGCAGCAGUACAGUAUCCCGAAUGAUCAUUGAUUUUAUUUAGCCAUUUCUUGGAAGUACACACCAUGCUUAAUGGCAGUAAUGAUGAUAGUUGCUCUGUGAAACUCUGCAAAAACAAAUUUGCAUUUUUUUGAGCAUAAAUUAGCCAUAGCUCUGUGAGUGAGUAAGAUUGAGCUUCAUAAUGAUGAAAACUUGAACAGGAUAUUUGAACAUUUUGAAAUGUUGUACAUUUUAUAUACAACUAAUGUUGCCUAACAGGGAGGACAUUUAUGAGUGAGACAUUUAAAAAAAUAUAUAUUUCACCUUUAUUUUAUUAGGCAAAUCAGUUAAGAACAAAUGAUUAUUUACAAUGACGGCCUACCCCGGCCAAACCCUAACCCAUUCCAGGCUGUAUGGGCCUCCCCAUACAGCCUGGAAUCGAACAAGGGUCUGUAGUGACACCUCUAGCACUGAGAUGCAGUGCCUUAGACCACUGUGCCACUCUGGAGCCCCUAAAAGGAGUGGAGAUGCCAGGGAUUGAACUCAGACUAACAACAUAAAACAUGGGAAAAUAGAUACAACUGAGUGUUUAUAUGUUUUCCCACCAAAGAAAUUAUGAAGCUUAUUGAAUGUCAUUGUAGGAAAGGGUUGUUUUCUUUAAAUUGAGAAUUACAACAAACUGACAUUAACAGGGUGAAAAGUGUUAUCAGUGACACACCGAAAAUCUUAAAUAAAAUACAAUAAUCAUGAAUAAAGGGUUAUUGAUAAGAGAAAAUGUAAAUAGAACUAGAAAAUAAUGAAGAUUUAAAAUGUUAUUAUAAUGGCUUAUAUUUCUCAUGGAAGUUGAUGAAUAACAUCAGGGGCCAUGGGAAAAAUGCCUACAUCCACUGAAAAUGUUUUCAAAACGCAUAAAAUAUCCCUUUAAGAUGCACAUUUUUGUGUUUUUAAGGUAAAGGACUCCUGACCUUAUAUUUAAAGUCUUUUGGAAUCCACAUUUUCACUAAGUAAGAAGUGAUAUUUCCUGGGGAUAGAAAAUUCAUAGCAUUGUCGGAAUGACCCCAGCUAACGUUAGCAACUCACCAGUAGUGAGGGGGUUUGUUGUCAGCCACAUUGAGGUAUCCUGAGUACUGUUUGAAGUUAGGCUGCUUUUGAAGCCCAGGGAGGAACUUUAUUGUAUCUGCUUCAGGUGCCCCAAUAGUCCCCGACGCUACCAACAGCAGGCACAACCCAAAUUAAACAUUUUGGGGUAAAAUUUCAUGCAAUGUUAAUAAUUUGUUAGUUGGAGCUCGUGAUGGGUUGUCACUAGUUACGACAGCCACAAAGUAAAACUAGGCUAUAUCAAUGAAAACAAAAAUGUGUUUGUUGGUCUUAAUUUAGGGUUAUGACUAAUGUUAGCGGUGUGGUUAACGAUAGGCUUAAAAUAUAUUUUAAGUAGAGAAAGUGUACAAAUAGGCGGGGUUUAGAUAUAAUUAUGGCUUUGUGGCUGUUGUAACUAGUAACGACUAGCGCGUAUCAAAUUGCGCACUGUUAGGUUCCGCACCUCAAAUUGGGAUGGUUGCUGGUUUGUUGUUUACUAUUUGUUUCUGGUGACCCAACUUUGUAUUAUUUCGCAUCUUGGUGGAUAAUUUGGCCAUUGCAGUGUAUGCGUCAGUUGAUGAAGACAAUACAAAAAGUAAACAAACAUGCUCCGCCUCAGUCGCAAAGAAAAUGCCGUUUUCCCCGUGAUCCCGAAAGAAGAUCAGAACCUCUACUUUGAAGGCGCAACUGGAAAACACACGACCGAUCGCGGCUGUGCGAGGUUCCAGAGUAUUUGAGGGUCAGGAGGGAAUGCAUCGUAAGAGCCGACUCACAUGCAGCCUUGCAUCCCACUGCGACGGCUGCCAACCAUGGCGCAACACUUGACCUUGUCAUCACAUAAUUCCAUGGUCACAUAGUUCCAUGCGGGCAAUAGACCAGUUGUACACUAUUCUCCCUAUUAUAAUUCUAUGUACACUAAUCUUCCAACAUUACCAUGGGUUGAAGAACUGAAUGUGGCAAUUUUCAGAAUUCAUCAAAUCACUUGUCUUUUUCUUUCAUCCAUAAAGGCUCUCCCAACACAUUUUCACUUGAUGCCUACAGAUCAUGAAAAGUUGUGUUACUUUCCCCAGUUUCUGUGUUGUGGUUUUUCUUGUAUGUGUAUGUUUCAGGAAAUGGCUUCCUGGAUUCCCCCAAGCAGUUGAUUGGUUGGCCCCAUUGCUAAUUGGAGCUGACCCCACCGUCUCGUCAGAGGAUACAACUGUAUCCCAUGACAGACUCCUUCUCCAGCUAGAAAAGCCAGUGUUCCUUUGCUGAGAGAGAGCUGAUGGUUAUGUUCUGUGUUUGUUGCUCAGACAGAGAGCUUAUUUGUAUGUCCUGUGUUGGUUGUUGCUGAGAAGGAGCUGAUGGUUAUGUCUUGUGUUGGUUGUUGUUCAGAGACAGGCUUUUUGUUCCCAGGGCGGGAAGGGGAAGGCACCUAGGGAGUGCUUAGGCAAGAGGUCUGCGGGCAUACAUAACCUGUAGUAUUUACUGUCUAUGCACACUAGGUAAGACCUGGGCGGACCACCCCCUGUAUUUUGGUUAGCGCACCAGGUGGUGCUAAAAUAUUAGGUAAGUAGUGGUUAGGUAGGUAAGUUAGGAGAGGGGGCUCUAACUUUUACUUUCUUUGCUUUGGUUCUGUCCAGCCCCUUUUCCCAAAAUGUACAGUGUGAAGGAAUAAAUUCUCAGUAAAUGGUCAA
Oncorhynchus nerka (sockeye salmon) is the source of this 3676-nucleotide long non-coding RNA. RefSeq lists it as uncharacterized. The record is from RefSeq and is a predicted model, not a curated record. The transcript is spliced from 3 exons. NCBI's taxonomy places the organism in Eukaryota, Metazoa, Chordata, Actinopteri, Salmoniformes, Salmonidae.